RNAcentral lists this long non-coding RNA (652 nucleotides) under Danio rerio (zebrafish). RNAcentral describes it as "lncRNA (ENSDARG00000117736.1)". Lineage: Eukaryota; Metazoa; Chordata; Actinopteri; Cypriniformes; Danionidae. The record is from RNAcentral.
AUCCGGUUGGGAGGGGUGAGAAAUUUGUGCGUGACUUAUUUGAGGACUGGGAGGCGCGCCAUUUCCGGGAGAUUAUCACUUGUUUGCGGGCAUUCGGGAGUCUCUAUGCAUUUGCGGAAGACUCACGGAUCUUCCGGGAGACUUGGGAUGUCUGCACAAGUAAACAAAAGUCUAACACACAAAACAUAAAACAAAGGCAAAUGCAACUAAGGUACGCAUGAUAUAAUCUUAUAAAGCCAAUUAACAUAGUGUCAAUUUACAAAGAGCUGCGAACAAAGAGACAAUCAGGAGCAAAGGCAGUGAUGGAAAGUAAAGUCAUGGAACAUAAAACAGCAGACAAACUGUGCAGCAUGCUGUGAUGCUCUUUUUUUCCUCUGGUCUCUUUGUGUCAUCAGUGUGGGAUCAGGCUCAUGUGUGUCCAGCUCUGUGUCUCUGAAGAGUGACUGUUCAAAGGAGGGUAUACUACCAGACCUUAGAGAGGAAACACCAUCAUCUGCCAACAGUGUUGAAAAUGAGUUACCAGAUUCAGAAGGCAAGACUCACAGGAGCCACAAGAGUUUUACAGACAAUCUCCAGUGGAUCUUCCAGGUGGGGAACACAUAGAUAAGACUUCACAUGUGUAGUUUUUCAUUCGUGUGUAUUUGAUUAUUAG